GGUUGUAGCUCAGUGGUAGAGUGCUUGCCUAACACGUGCAAGUUACUGGGUUUGAUCCUCAGCACCA
RNAcentral lists this transfer RNA (67 nucleotides) under Marmota monax (woodchuck). RNAcentral describes it as "tRNA.Val". Lineage: Eukaryota; Metazoa; Chordata; Mammalia; Rodentia; Sciuridae. The record is from RNAcentral.